AACGAACGCUGGCGGCAUGCCUAACACAUGCAAGUCGAACGAGACCUUCGGGUCUAGUGGCGCACGGGUGCGUAACGCGUGGGAACCUGCCUUUAGGUUCGGAAUAACAGUGAGAAAUUACUGCUAAUACCGGAUGAUGUCUUCGGACCAAAGAUUUAUCGCCUUUAGAUGGGCCCGCGUUAGAUUAGCUAGUUGGUGGGGUAAAGGCCUACCAAGGCGACGAUCCAUAGCUGGUCUGAGAGGAUGAUCAGCCACACUGGGACUGAGACACGGCCCAGACUCCUACGGGAGGCAGCAGUGGGGAAUAUUGGACAAUGGGCGAAAGCCUGAUCCAGCAAUGCCGCGUGAGUGAUGAAGGCCUUAGGGUUGUAAAGCUCUUUUACCCGAGAUGAUAAUGACAGUAUCGGGAGAAUAAGCUCCGGCUAACUCCGUG
This 433-nucleotide ribosomal RNA is filed under the name uncultured bacterium. RNAcentral's name for it is "bacterial SSU rRNA". It matches the Rfam family "Bacterial small subunit ribosomal RNA", at positions 29 to 507 of the family's 1533-position model. The record is from RNAcentral.